RNAcentral lists this ribosomal RNA (483 nucleotides) under uncultured bacterium. RNAcentral describes it as "partial 16S ribosomal RNA". It matches the Rfam family "Bacterial small subunit ribosomal RNA", at positions 30 to 507 of the family's 1533-position model. The record is from RNAcentral.
AUUGAACGCUGGCGGCAGGCCUAACACAUGCAAGUCGAGCGGAUGAAGGGAGCUUGCUCCUGGAUUCAGCGGCGGACGGGUGAGUAAUGCCUAGGAAUCUGCCUGGUAGUGGGGGAUAACGUCCGGAAACGGGCGCUAAUACCGCAUACGUCCUGAGGGAGAAAGUGGGGGAUCUUCGGACCUCACGCUAUCAGAUGAGCCUAGGUCGGAUUAGCUAGUUGGUGGGGUAAAGGCCUACCAAGGCGACGAUCCGUACUGGUCUGAGAGGAUGAUCAGUCACACUGGGACUGAGACACGGUCCAGACUCCUACGGGAGGCAGCAGUGGGGAAUAUUGGACAAUGGGCGAAAGCCUGAUCCAGCCAUGCCGCGUGUGUGAAGAAGGUCUUCGGAUUGUAAAGCACUUUAAGUUGGGAGGAAGGGCAGUAAGUUAAUACCUUGCUGUUUUGACGUUACCAACAGAAUAAGCACCGGCUAACUUCGUG